This 557-nucleotide ribosomal RNA is filed under the name Colletotrichum sp. MTCC 3439. RNAcentral's name for it is "eukaryotic LSU rRNA". The stretch from base 199 to 352 matches the Rfam family "5.8S ribosomal RNA". The record is from RNAcentral. Lineage: Eukaryota; Fungi; Ascomycota; Sordariomycetes; Glomerellales; Glomerellaceae.
UUGGUGAACCAGCGGAGGGAUCAUUACUGAGUUUACGCUCUACAACCCUUUGUGAACAUACCUAUAACUGUUGCUUCGGCGGGUAGGGUCUCCGUGACCCUCCCGGCCUCCCGCCCCCGGGCGGGUCGGCGCCCGCCGGAGGAUAACCAAACUCUGAUUUAACGACGUUUCUUCUGAGUGGUACAAGCAAAUAAUCAAAACUUUUAACAACGGAUCUCUUGGUUCUGGCAUCGAUGAAGAACGCAGCGAAAUGCGAUAAGUAAUGUGAAUUGCAGAAUUCAGUGAAUCAUCGAAUCUUUGAACGCACAUUGCGCCCGCCAGCAUUCUGGCGGGCAUGCCUGUUCGAGCGUCAUUUCAACCCUCAAGCUCUGCUUGGUGUUGGGGCCCUACAGCUGAUGUAGGCCCUCAAAGGUAGUGGCGGACCCUCUCGGAGCCUCCUUUGCGUAGUAACUUUACGUCUCGCACUGGGAUCCGGAGGGACUCUUGCCGUAAAACCCCCAAUUUUCCAAAGGUUGACCUCGGAUCAGGUAGGAAUACCCGCUGAACUUAAGCAUAUC